CCUUAGUAGCAUAGUGUCAAUUUUUAAGUUAUAUCUUCUGUAGUUUGUCAUAAGUCCCGUCUGUAAUUUGUUAAAAGUUCUUUAGUAGCAUAGUGUCAUAUUUUAAGUUAUAUCUUGUGUAGUUUGUUAAAAGCCCUUUAAAGUUCCUUGGUAGCAAAGUGUCAUAUUUUAAGUUAUAUCUUCUGUAAUUAGUUAAAAAGUCCCUUCUGUAGUUUGUUAAAAGUUCCUUAGUAGCAUAGUGUCAUAUUUUAAGUUAGUUAUCCCGUAGUUUGUUAAAAGUCCCUUAGUAGUAUAGUGUCAUAUUUUAAGUUAUAUCUUGUGUAGUUUGUUAAAAGCCCUUUAAAGUUCCUUGGUAGCAAAGUGUCAUAUUUUAAGUUAUAUCUUCUGUAAUUAGUUAAAAGUUCCUUCUGUAGUUUGUUAAAAGUUCCUAAGUAGCAUAGUGUCAUAUUUUAAGUGAAUUAUCCAGUAGUUUGUUAAAAGUCCCUUAGUAGCAUAGUGUCAUAUUUUAAGUUAUAUCUUUUGUAGUUUGUUAAAAGUUCCUUAGUAGCAUAGUGUCAUAAUUUAAGUUAGUUAUCCCGUAGUUUGUUAAAAGUCCCUUAGUAGCAUAGUGUCAAUUUUUAAGUUAUAUCUUCUGUAGUUUGUCAUAAGUCCCGUCUGUAAUUUGUUAAAAGUUCUUUAGUAGCAUAGUGUCAUAUUUUAAGUUAUAUCUUGUGUAGUUUGUUAAAAGCCCUUUAAAGUUCCUUGGUAGCAAAGUGUCAUAUUUUAAGUUAUAUCUUCUGUAAUUAGUUAAAAGUCCCUUCUGUAGUUUGUUAAAAGUUCCUUAGUAGCAUAAUGUCAUAUUUUAAGUUAGUUAUCCCGUAGUUUGUUAAAAGUCCCCUAGUAGCAUAGUGUCAAUUUUUAAGUUAUAUCUUCUGUAGUUUGUCAACGUCCCUUCUGUAAUUUGUUAAAAGUUCUUUAGUAGCAUAGUGUCAUAUUUUAAGUUAUAUCUUCUGUAGUUUGUUUAAAGUCCCUAAGUAGCAUAGUGUCAUAUUUUAAGUUAUAUCUUCUGUACUUUGUUUAAAGUGCCUAAGUAGCAUAGUGUCAUAUUUUAAGUUAUAUCUUUUGUAGUUUGUUAAAGUCCCUUAGUAGCAUAGUGUCCAUAUUUUAAGUUAUAUCUUCUGUAGUUUGUUAAAAGUCCCUCAGUAGCAUAGUGUCCAUAUUUUAAGUUAUAUCUUCUGUAGUUUGUUAAAAGUCCCUUAGUAGCAUAGUGUCCCAUAUUUUAAGUUAUAUCUUCUGUAGUUUGUUAAAGUCCCUUAGUAGCAUAGUGUCCAUAUUUUAAGUUAUAUCUCUGUAGUUUGUUAAAAGUCCCUUAGUAGCAUAGUGUCCAUAUUUUAAGUUAUAUCUUCUGUGUUUUGUUGAAAGUCCCUUAGUAAACUUUUUAUAUAAGUAUAUAUAGAAUGUGAUUACGGUAUCCUGAAUAGAAUCAAGGAUGGAUGGUGGAGGGUUUACAAUACUAGAGUAUCUGCAAGUUAAUUUCUGCUGGACAGCAAGGUGCGUUUUUAAAACACACCAGCAGUUUUCACUGCUCAGAUCCUUAAACUGCAGGUAGACGAUACAGUAUUGUGGGGUUAUAUAAUAGUUUUUUGUGGUUUUUUUUUCAAAAAUACUGUUUUAUUUGAAUGUACUAUUAUUGAUGAAAUCUUUUUUAUAUCUUUUUAUUGUAUAGAUUUUUUUUUAAAUACUGUGAAAGUGAUAUAAUCAGUUUGUCUAAUGAAAUAUAUUCAUAUUUCACCAUAAGGUAUUACCUG
This 1787-nucleotide long non-coding RNA is filed under the name Mytilus galloprovincialis (Mediterranean mussel). Lineage: Eukaryota; Metazoa; Mollusca; Bivalvia; Mytilida; Mytilidae. The record is from RNAcentral.